This 508-nucleotide ribosomal RNA is filed under the name uncultured archaeon. Its description in RNAcentral is "bacterial SSU rRNA". It matches the Rfam family "Archaeal small subunit ribosomal RNA", at positions 474 to 981 of the family's 1478-position model. The record is from RNAcentral.
UACCGGCGGCUCGAGUGGUGGCCACUAUUACUGGGCUUAAAGCGUCCGUAGCUUGGUUGUUAAGUCUCUUGGGAAAUCUGUCGGCUUAACCGACAGGCGUUUAAGGGAUACUGGCAAUCUAGGGACCGGGAGAGGUGAGAGGUACUCCAGGGGUAGGAGUGAAAUCCUGUAAUCCUUGGGGGACCACCUGUGGCGUAGGCGUCUCACCAGAACGGCUCCGACAGUGAGGGACGAAAGCUGGGGGAGCAAACCGGAUUAGAUACCCGGGUAGUCCCAGCCGUAAACGAUGCGCGUUAGGUGUAUCGGUGACCACGAGUCACCGAGGUGCCGAAGGGAAACCGUGAAACGUGCCGCCUGGGAAGUACGGUCGCAAGGCUGAAACUUAAAGGAAUUGGCGGGGGAGCACCACAACAGGUGGAGCCUGCGGUUUAAUCGGACUCAACGCCGGAAACCUCACCGGAUAAGACAGCGGGAUGAUAGCCAGGCUGAAGACUUUGCUUGACUAGCU